RNAcentral lists this ribosomal RNA (599 nucleotides) under uncultured Pseudomonadaceae bacterium. RNAcentral describes it as "SSU rRNA". It matches the Rfam family "Bacterial small subunit ribosomal RNA", at positions 123 to 716 of the family's 1533-position model. Lineage: Bacteria; Pseudomonadati; Pseudomonadota; Gammaproteobacteria; Pseudomonadales; Pseudomonadaceae. The record is from RNAcentral.
AAUCUGCCUGGUAGUGGGGGAUAACGUCCGGAAACGGGCGCUAAUACCGCAUACGUCCUGAGGGAGAAAGUGGGGGAUCUUCGGACCUCACGCUAUCAGAUGAGCCUAGGUCGGAUUAGCUAGUUGGUGGGGUAAAGGCCUACCAAGGCGACGAUCCGUAACUGGUCUGAGAGGAUGAUCAGUCACACUGGAACUGAGACACGGUCCAGACUCCUACGGGAGGCAGCAGUGGGGAAUAUUGGACAAUGGGCGAAAGCCUGAUCCAGCCAUGCCGCGUGUGUGAAGCAAGGUCUUCGGAUUGUAAAGCACUUUAAGUUGGGAGGAAGGGCAGUAAGUUAAUACCUUGCUGUUAUGACGUUACCAACAGAAUAAGCACCGGCUAACUUCGUGCCAGCAGCCGCGGUAAUACGAAGGGUGCAAGCGUUAAUCGGAAUUACUGGGCGUAAAGCGCGCGUAGGUGGUUCAGCAAGUUGGAUGUGAAAUCCCCGGGCUCAACCUGGGAACUGCAUCCAAAACUACUGAGCUAGAGUACGGUAGAGGGUGGUGGAAUUUCCUGUGUAGCGGUGAAAUGCGUAGAUAUAGGAAGGAACACCAGUGGC